Molecule: long non-coding RNA, 1113 nt
Organism: Mesocricetus auratus (golden hamster)
Lineage: Eukaryota; Metazoa; Chordata; Mammalia; Rodentia; Cricetidae
Exons: 3
Source: RefSeq, a predicted model, not a curated record
CUUAAUGAAGGGGAUAAAGCAUUGGGCGUACACCCUUCCCAGCUCUUCCUAGCCACCAUCAGUCCUCCGUGACAUGCACCUGUAGUGCCACAGGCCCAAGGCAACAGAACAAGAAGCGUAGACUGAAACCUCUGGAACCGUGAGCAGAAAUAAGCUUUUCUCCCUUGAUUAUCUCAGCCAUUAGCAUUCAAAAGCUGACUUACAUAUAGAAGCUGGAAAAAAUAGUAUCUACUGGGGGAGGAGGUGCGUGAUGGAGCUCCACCAGUGCCAAAUACAGACUCGUCCACAGCUCAGCAGGAUCAUCCUUGAAGACCACAGCACUCAUGGCCUCCUGGGUAGCCGCUUCUCCCACGUAAGGGCAGAAUGAGUGUGACCGCGGUCUGCAGGGCCUGAGCUUGGGUCUUGGGUCUUCGUACUGCGUGUCAGAGGGAGGGAGCACCCUGACCAGUGUGCUGUCUGGGAUCAAGUACCCUGCAUGGCCACACCUGGGAGUCUGCAGCAAAGCCAGGUCAGGGGUUUGGAGCGAGACAAGCUGGCAGCAGGUGCCUGUUGCUGGUCAUCCCCUCACAUCAUCCGGAGUUCCCAGACUCCUCCCUUCCAAACAUUUCAGAAGAACAUCAGCACCCCUGCUUUCCUUGAGCCUUGAAUUGGGCAUCGUGCUACGGCUGCUGAGGCUCAGUGGGAAACAUUUGUGUUCACGGGACGCUGGCGCACUGCUGAGAACUCCAGAGCCUCCAGGAAAGUCGAGUUGCAAGAACCAAGCUUGUGCAGAAUCCUCCGGGAUUUUAUUUUAUUUUCCUGUCUUUCUUCCCUCCUAUAAAUGAUCCUGGAAUCUCACCUGCCCUCAUGAGAUGGGCGGCCCUCAGCAGCUUCCAUCCUCCGUCCUAUGCCAGAGUGGAAAAGACCCAGCACCGGGAAAUAAAGAGUGUCCAAAUCAUCACCCCUGGUUGAUGACGCUGUUUUGGGGAAGCUAUGGAAUCUUCAGGAAGUCGGGCCUUAAUAGAGGAGGUGUACCAGUGAGGGCAGGCUUCAAUGGCCUGCCGCCAUGACACCCCACCACUUAUGGACUCUCACUCUGGAACUGUAAGCCCAAAUAAACUCUUCCAUAAAUCA